GGCGAACGGGUGAGUAAAGCAUCGGAACGUGCCCGAUCGUGGGGGAUAACGCAGCGAAAGCUGCGCUAAUACCGCAUAAGAUCUACGGAUGAAAGCGGGGGACUCGCAAGAGCCUCGCGCGAACGGAGCGGCCGAUGUCAGAUUAGGUAGUUGGUGGGGUAAAGGCCCACCAAGCCGACGAUCUGUAGCUGGUCUGAGAGGACGACCAGCCACACUGGUACUGUUUCACGGCCCAGACUCCUACGGGAGGCAGCAGUGGGGAAUUUUGGACAAUGGGCGCGAGCGUGAUCCAGCCAUGCCGCGUGCAGGAAGAAGGCCU
This 319-nucleotide ribosomal RNA is filed under the name uncultured Comamonadaceae bacterium. RNAcentral describes it as "bacterial SSU rRNA". It matches the Rfam family "Bacterial small subunit ribosomal RNA", at positions 97 to 417 of the family's 1533-position model. The record is from RNAcentral. Lineage: Bacteria; Pseudomonadati; Pseudomonadota; Betaproteobacteria; Burkholderiales; Comamonadaceae.